GCAGCUAUAGCUGAGAGGUAAGCAUUUGAUUUGCACGCAUGAUGCUCCAGGUUCAAUCCUUAGUUAUUGCA
Molecule: transfer RNA, 71 nt
Filed under: Mus musculus (house mouse)
Lineage: Eukaryota; Metazoa; Chordata; Mammalia; Rodentia; Muridae
Also listed under: 1 other name
Rfam family: tRNA
About the family: Transfer RNA (tRNA) molecules are approximately 80 nucleotides in length. Their secondary structure includes four short double-helical elements and three loops (D, anti-codon, and T loops). Further hydrogen bonds mediate the characteristic L-shaped molecular structure. tRNAs have two regions of fundamental functional importance: the anti-codon, which is responsible for specific mRNA codon recognition, and the 3' end, to which the tRNAs corresponding amino acid is attached (by aminoacyl-tRNA synthetases). tRNAs cope with the degeneracy of the genetic code in two manners: having more than one tRNA (with a specific anti-codon) for a particular amino acid; and 'wobble' base-pairing, i.e. permitting non-standard base-pairing at the 3rd anti-codon position.
Source: Rfam by way of RNAcentral